CCGGCGAUGUCCGAAUGGGGAAACCCAGUGCAAUUCGUUGCACUAUCGUUAACUGAAUACAUAGGUUAACGAGGCGAACCGGGGGAACUGAAACAUCUAAGUACCCCGAGGAAAAGAAAUCAACCGAGAUUCCCCCAGUAGCGGCGAGCGAACGGGGAGCAGCCCAGAGUCUGAAUCAGCUUGUGUGUUAGUGGAACGGUCUGGAAAGUCCGACGGUACAGGGUGAUAGUCCCGUACACCAAAAUGCACAGGUUGUGAACUCGAAGAGUAGGGCGGGACACGUGGUAUCCUGUCUGAAUAUGGGGGGACCAUCCUCCAAGGCUAAAUACUCCUGACUGACCGAUAGUGAACCAGUACCGUGAGGGAAAGGCGAAAAGAACCCCGGCGAGGGGAGUGAAAAAGAACCUGAAACCGUGUACGUACAAGCAGUGGGAGCACCUUCGGGUGUGACUGCGUACCUUUUGUAUAAUGGGUCAGCGACUUAUAUUCUGUAGCAAGGUUAACCGUAUAGGGGAGCCGCAGGGAAACCGAGUCUUAACUGGGCGUUAAGUUGCAGGGUAUAGACCCGAAACCCGGUGAUCUAGCCAUGGGCAGGUUGAAGGUUGGGUAACACUAACUGGAGGACCGAACCGACUAAUGUUGAAAAAUUAGCGGAUGACUUGUGGCUGGGGGUGAAAGGCCAAUCAAACCGGGAGAUAGCUGGUUCUCCCCGAAAGCUAUUUAGGUAGCGCCUCGUGAACUCAUCUUCGGGGGUAGAGCACUGUUUCGGCUAGGGGGUCAUCCCGACUUACCAACCCGAUGCAAACUACGAAUACCGAAGAAUGUUAUCACGGGAGACACACGGCGGGUGCUAACGUCCGUCGUGAAGAGGGAAACAACCCAGACCGCCAGCUAAGGUCCCAAAGUCAUGGUUAAGUGGGAAACGAUGUGGGAAGGCACAGACAGCCAGGAUGUUGGCUUAGAAGCAGCCAUCAUUUAAAGAAAGCGUAAUAGCUCACUGGUCGAGUCGGCCUGCGCGGAAGAUGUAACGGGGCUAAACCAUGCACCGAAGCUGCGGCAGCGACACUAUGUGUUGUUGGGUAGGGGAGCGUUCUGUAAGCCUGCGAAGGUGUGCUGUGAGGCAUGCUGGAGGUAUCAGAAGUGCGAAUGCUGACAUAAGUAACGAUAAAGCGGGUGAAAAGCCCGCUCGCCGGAAGACCAAGGGUUCCUGUCCAACGUUAAUCGGGGCAGGGUGAGUCGACCCCUAAGGCGAGGCCGAAAGGCGUAGUCGAUGGGAAACAGGUUAAUAUUCCUGUACUUGGUGUUACUGCGAAGGGGGGACGGAGAAGGCUAUGUUAGCCGGGCGACGGUUGUCCCGGUUUAAGCAUGUAGGCUGAUUGUCCAGGCAAAUCCGGAUAAUCAAGGCUGAGGUGUGAUGACGAGGCACUACGGUGCUGAAGUAACAAAUGCCCUGCUUCCAGGAAAAGCCUCUAAGCAUCAGGUAACAUUAAAUCGUACCCCAAACCGACACAGGUGGUCAGGUAGAGAAUACCAAGGCGCUUGAGAGAACUCGGGUGAAGGAACUAGGCAAAAUGGUGCCGUAACUUCGGGAGAAGGCACGCUGGUGUGUAGGUGAAGUCCCUGCGGAUGGAGCUGAGACCAGUCGAAGAUACCAGCUGGCUGCAACUGUUUAUUAAAAACACAGCACUGUGCAAACACGAAAGUGGACGUAUACGGUGUGACGCCUGCCCGGUGCCGGAAGGUUAAUUGAUGGGGUUAUCCGUAAGGAGAAGCUCUUGAUCGAAGCCCCGGUAAACGGCGGCCGUAACUAUAACGGUCCUAAGGUAGCGAAAUUCCUUGUCGGGUAAGUUCCGACCUGCACGAAUGGCGUAAUGAUGGCCAGGCUGUCUCCACCCGAGACUCAGUGAAAUUGAACUCGCUGUGAAGAUGCAGUGUACCCGCGGCAAGACGGAAAGACCCCGUGAACCUUUACUAUAGCUUGACACUGAACAUUGAGCCUUGAUGUGUAGGAUAGGUGGGAGGCUUUGAAGCGUGGACGCCAGUCUGCGUGGAGCCAACCUUGAAAUACCACCCUUUAAUGUUUGAUGUUCUAACGUUGGCCCCUGACCGGGGUUGCGGACAGUGUCUGGUGGGUAGUUUGACUGGGGCGGUCUCCUCCCAAAGCGUAACGGAGGAGCACGAAGGUUAGCUAAUCCUGGUCGGACAUCAGGAGGUUAGUGCAAUGGCAUAAGCUAGCUUGACUGCGAGCGUGACGGCGCGAGCAGGUGCGAAAGCAGGUCAUAGUGAUCCGGUGGUUCUGAAUGGAAGGGCCAUCGCUCAACGGAUAAAAGGUACUCCGGGGAUAACAGGCUGAUACCGCCCAAGAGUUCAUAUCGACGGCGGUGUUUGGCACCUCGAUGUCGGCUCAUCACAUCCUGGGGCUGAAGUAGGUCCCAAGGGUAUGGCUGUUCGCCAUUUAAAGUGGUACGCGAGCUGGGUUUAGAACGUCGUGAGACAGUUCGGUCCCUAUCUGCCGUGGGCGCUGGAGAAUUGAGGGGGGCUGCUCCUAGUACGAGAGGACCGGAGUGGACGCAUCACUGGUGUUCGGGUUGUCAUGCCAAUGGCACUGCCCGGUAGCUAAAUGCGGAAGAGAUAAGUGCUGAAAGCAUCUAAGCACGAAACUUGCCCCGAGAUGAGUUCUCCCUGAGACUUUAAGUCUCCUGAAGGAACGUUGAAGACGACGACGUUGAUAGGCCGGGUGUGUAAGCGCAGCGAUGCGUUGAGCUAACCGGUACUAAUGAACCGUGAGGCUUAACCUU
This 2798-nucleotide ribosomal RNA is filed under the name Klebsiella pneumoniae. RNAcentral's name for it is "bacterial LSU rRNA". It matches the Rfam family "Bacterial large subunit ribosomal RNA". The record is from RNAcentral. Lineage: Bacteria; Pseudomonadati; Pseudomonadota; Gammaproteobacteria; Enterobacterales; Enterobacteriaceae.